UUGAAUAUAUUUUAAAGGUAUAGCCGAGCGGCUAUACUAUUUGAACAUUGGAUAUAUUUAAAAGGUAUAGCCGCCCGGCUAUACUCUUAAUAAA
This 94-nucleotide microRNA precursor is filed under the name Prunus dulcis (almond). RNAcentral describes it as "sRNA ncRNA". Lineage: Eukaryota; Viridiplantae; Streptophyta; Magnoliopsida; Rosales; Rosaceae. The record is from RNAcentral.